Long non-coding RNA from Caretta caretta (loggerhead turtle), 789 nucleotides. RefSeq lists it as uncharacterized. Lineage: Eukaryota; Metazoa; Chordata; Testudines; Cheloniidae. The record is from RefSeq and is a predicted model, not a curated record.
AAAAGAGAUAACUAAAGGGAGAAUACAACAGAAGUCUAUGAAAUCCUGACUGUUGUUGACAAAAUGGAAUCCUGUGGUACAGACAGGUCUAAUAAUUACAUCACCAACAAGCCAUCACAAAUUUCACAGCAUACUUCUUGAUUAACCUGCAAAAACAUAAGCAAACAAAACACACAAGGCCUCUGACUGGGCCUUAUAGCCAGGACCUUUUCAUCACUCUGGAGCCAAUACCUUCCCAAGGCGGGAUCCCCGACCCUGAAGCCGGAGAAGGCACCUCUGGUGCAAAUGUUUCUAUGCUCCCCCUAUCAUCUCAGUCCCUGAGGUUAUCGCAGAUUAGAAGGUGGAAAAAAAGCACUCACAAUGACAUGUUUUCCGAGCUCAUGCAGUCCUCCCGCACUGCUAGGGAACAGCUUAAUGCAUGGAGGCAUUCAGUGGCAGAGGUGAGCAGAGGCAGGAGACGAUGCUGAGGCUAAUGGGGGAGCAAACGGACAUGAUGAGGCGUCUGGUGGAGCUGCGGGAAAGCCAACAAGAGCACAGACCUGCACCGCAUCCAUUGUAUAACCACCUGCCCUCCUCCCCAAGUUCCAUAUCCUCCUCACCCAGAUGCCCAAAAAUGCAGGGGAGGCUCCAGGCACCUAGCCACUCCACUCCAGAGGAUGGCCCAAGCAACAGAAGGCUGUCAUUCAAACAGUUUUGAUUUGUAGUGUGGCUACAAUAAGCAAUGUGGCCUUGUCCUUCCCUCCUCCCCCACCCCACCCAGGCUACCUUGUCAGUUAUCUCACUUUUAAA